RNAcentral lists this ribosomal RNA (209 nucleotides) under uncultured bacterium. Its description in RNAcentral is "partial 16S ribosomal RNA". It matches the Rfam family "Bacterial small subunit ribosomal RNA", at positions 568 to 775 of the family's 1533-position model. The record is from RNAcentral.
AGCGCAGGCGGUUUCUUAAGUCUGAUGUGAAAGCCUUCGGCUCAACCGAAGAAGUGCAUCGGAAACUGGGAAACUUGAGUGCAGAAGAGGACAGUGGAACUCCAUGUGUAGCGGUGAAAUGCGUAGAUAUAUGGAAGAACACCAGUGGCGAAGGCGGCUGUCUGGUCUGUAACUGACGCUGAGGCUCAAAGCAUGGGUAAGGCAAACAA